UCGAUUAGAGUUUGAUCCUGGCUCAGAUUGAACGCUGGCGGCAGGCUUAACACAUGCAAGUCGAGCGGAUGAAAGUAGCUUGCUACCGGAUUCAGCGGCGGACGGGUGAGUAAUGCUUAGGAAUCUGCCUAUUAGUGGGGGACAACGUUCCGAAAGGAGCGCUAAUACCGCAUACGUCCUACGGGAGAAAGCAGGGGACCUUCGGGCCUUGCGCUAAUAGAUGAGCCUAAGUCGGAUUAGCUAGUUGGUAGGGUAAAGGCCUACCAAGGCGACGAUCUGUAGCGGGUCCGAGAGGAUGAUCCGCCACACUGGGACUGAGACACGGCCCAGACUCCUACGGGAGGCAGCAGUGGGGAAUAUUGGACAAUGGGGGGAACCCUGAUCCAGCCAUGCCGCGUGUGUGAAGAAGGCCUUUUGGUUGUAAAGCACUUUAAGCGAGGAGGAGGCUACCUAGAUUAAUACUUUAGGAUAGUGGACGUUACUCGCAGAAUAAGCACCGGCUAACUCUGUGCCAGCAGCCGCGGUAAUACAGAGGGUGCGAGCGUUAAUCGGAUUUACUGGGCGUAAAGCGUGCGUAGGCGGCCAAUUAAGUCAAAUGUGAAAUCCCCGAGCUUAACUUGGGAAUUGCAUUCGAUACUGGUUGGCUAGAGUAUGGGAGAGGAUGGUAGAAUUCCCGGUGUUGCGGUGAAAUGCGUAGAGAUCUGGAAGAAUACCGAUGGCGAAGGCUGCCAUUCUGGCCUAAUACUGACGCUGAAGUACGAAAGCUGGGGAACCAACAGGAUUAGUUCUUCUGGUAGUCCUGCCGUUAACGAUGUCU
RNAcentral lists this ribosomal RNA (817 nucleotides) under uncultured Gammaproteobacteria bacterium. RNAcentral's name for it is "bacterial SSU rRNA". It matches the Rfam family "Bacterial small subunit ribosomal RNA", at positions 1 to 814 of the family's 1533-position model. The record is from RNAcentral. Lineage: Bacteria; Pseudomonadati; Pseudomonadota; Gammaproteobacteria.